GAUGAACGCUGGCGGCGUGCCUAAUACAUGCAAGCCGAGCGAACAGACGAGGAGCUUGCUCCUCUGACGUUAGCGGCGGACGGGUGAGUAACACGUGGAUAACCUACCUAUAAGACUGGGAUAACUUCGGGAAACCGGAGCUAAUACCGGAUAAUAUAUUGAACCGCAUGGUCUAAUAGUGAAAGACGGUUUUGCUGUUACUUAUAGAUGGAUCCGCGCCGCAUUAGCUAGUUGGUAAGGUAACGGCUUACCAAGGCGACGAUGCGUAACCGACCUGAGAGGGAGAUCGGCCACACUUGAACUGAGACACGGACCAGACACCUACGGAGGGCGGCAGUAGGGAAGCGACCGCAAUGGGGGAAAGCCUGACGGAGCAACGCCACGUGAGUGAUGAAGGUCUUCGGAUCGUAGAACUCGAUUAUUAGGGAAGAACAAAUGUGUAAGUAACUAUGCACGACUUGACGGUACCUAAUCAGAAAGCCACGGCUAACUACGUG
This 497-nucleotide ribosomal RNA is filed under the name uncultured bacterium. RNAcentral describes it as "partial 16S ribosomal RNA". It matches the Rfam family "Bacterial small subunit ribosomal RNA", at positions 28 to 507 of the family's 1533-position model. The record is from RNAcentral.